CCUACGGGUGGCAGCAGUAGGGAAUCUUCCACAAUGGACGAAAGUCUGAUGGAGCAACGCCGCGUGAGUGAAGAAGGGUUUCGGCUCGUAAAGCUCCGUUGGUAGUGAAGAAAGAUAGAGGUAGUAACUGGCCUUUAUUUGACGGUAAUUACUUAGAAAGUCACUGCUAACUACGUUCCAGCAGCCGCGGUGAUACGUAGGUGGCAAGCGUUGUCCCGAUUUAUUGGGCGUAAAGCGAGUGCAAGCGGUCCAAUAAGUCUGAUGUGAAAGCCUUCGGCUCAACCGGGGAAUUGCAGCAGAAACUGGUGAACUUGAGUGCAGAAGAGGAGAGUGGAACGCCAGGUGUAGCGGUGGAAUGCGUAGAUAUAUGGAAGAACACCAGUGGCGAAGGCGGCUCUCUGGUCUUCAACUGACGCUGAGGCUCGAAAGCAUGGGUAGCGAACAGGAUUAGAUACCCUGGUAGUC
This 465-nucleotide ribosomal RNA is filed under the name uncultured bacterium. RNAcentral describes it as "partial 16S ribosomal RNA". It matches the Rfam family "Bacterial small subunit ribosomal RNA", at positions 338 to 795 of the family's 1533-position model. The record is from RNAcentral.